CAGGACUACGGCCGAUCAAGCCCCCAGCCCGAUUCUCUCCUCUUUGCUCCAAGCCGUGCCCUAGUUAGGGUACACAGCCGUCGGUGGCCACAGAUUUCACUUCCUCCCUUCUCUGUGUCGUGCCCUAGGUCAUAGCCAACAAGUGAGGUUGUGUGCUGUGAGGCUUGCUUGUUCUUGGUUCCGGCAGCCUUCUUUCCAACAGCUACUUGUUGGUUGCGGAUCUAGAGCAGUGUGUGAAUUGAGGAUCUUGACGCGAGACGAGUAUCUCGGAGUCGGAUUUGGACCACUUUAUUGGAGGCG
Molecule: long non-coding RNA, 300 nt
Organism: Zingiber officinale
Lineage: Eukaryota; Viridiplantae; Streptophyta; Magnoliopsida; Zingiberales; Zingiberaceae
Exons: 3
Source: RefSeq, a predicted model, not a curated record